GGGUCAGUAGGUUGGUCGUGCCACCGGUACGUACUGGUCUCACUGAUUCCUCCUUCCCGAAAAACCGUAAUGCCAUUAAUUUGGUGUUGCGGGGAAACAGGACUGUUACUUUGAAAAAAUUAGAGUGUUUAAAGCAAGCUAACGCUUGAAUACAUUAGCAUGGAAUAAUGAAAUAGGACGAUCGAUCCUAUUUUGUUGGUUUCUAGGAUUGACGUA
This 216-nucleotide ribosomal RNA is filed under the name Glomeromycotina sp. RNAcentral's name for it is "partial small subunit ribosomal RNA". The stretch from base 40 to 216 matches the Rfam family "Eukaryotic small subunit ribosomal RNA", at positions 686 to 864 of the family's 1831-position model. Lineage: Eukaryota; Fungi; Glomeromycota. The record is from RNAcentral.